Molecule: ribosomal RNA, 253 nt
Filed under: uncultured bacterium
Lineage: Bacteria
Description: partial 16S ribosomal RNA
Rfam family: Bacterial small subunit ribosomal RNA
Source: RNAcentral
UACGUAGGGGGCAAGCGUUGUCCGGAAUCAUUGGGCGUAAAGAGCGCGUAGGCGGCCCGAUAAGUCCGCUGUGAAAGUCAAGGGCUCAACCCUGGGAUGCCGGUCGAUACUGCCGGACUAGAGUUCGGAAGAGGCGAGUGGAAUUCCCGGUGUAGCGGUGAAAUGCGCAGAUAUCGGGAGGAACACCUAUGGCGAAGGCAGCUCGCUGGGACGUUACUGACGCUGAGACGCGAAAGCGUGGGGAGCAAACAGG